Molecule: ribosomal RNA, 222 nt
Filed under: uncultured bacterium
Lineage: Bacteria
Description: partial 16S ribosomal RNA
Rfam family: Bacterial small subunit ribosomal RNA
Source: RNAcentral
CGCGUGGGUGACGUGCCUGUUAGUGGGGAAUAACUGCCCGAAAGGGUGGCUAAUUCCGCAUACGUCCACUAGUUCACUGUAGUGGAGAAAGCUUUGCAAGAGGCGCUGACGGAGCGGCCCGCGUUCGAUUAGCUAGUUGGUGGGGUAACGGCCUACCAAGGCGACGAUCGAUAGCUGGUCUCAGAGGAUGAUCAGCCAGACUGGGACUGAGACACGGCCCAG